RNAcentral lists this ribosomal RNA (446 nucleotides) under Bacillus sp. PASCS19. Its description in RNAcentral is "bacterial SSU rRNA". It matches the Rfam family "Bacterial small subunit ribosomal RNA", at positions 58 to 488 of the family's 1533-position model. The record is from RNAcentral. Lineage: Bacteria; Bacillati; Bacillota; Bacilli; Caryophanales; Bacillaceae.
CAAGUCGAGCGAAUCGAUGGGAGCUUGCUCCCUGAGAUUAGCGGCGGACGGGUGAGUAACACGUGGGCAACCUGCCUAUAAGACUGGGAUAACUUCGGGAAACCGGAGCUAAUACCGGAUACGUUCUUUUCUCGCAUGAGAGAAGAUGGAAAGACGGUUUCGGCUGUCACUUAUAGAUGUUGGCCCGCGGCGCAUUAGCUAGUUGGUGAGGUAAUAAGGCUCACCAAGGCGACGAUGCGUAGCCGACCUGAGAGGGUGAUCGGCCACACUGGGACUGAGACACGGCCCAGACUCCUACGGGAGGCAGCAGUAGGGAAUCUUCCGCAAUGGACGAAAGUCUGACGGAGCAACGCCGCGUGAACGAAGAAGGCCUUCGGGUCGUAAAGUUCUGUUGUUAGGGAAGAACAAGUACCAGAGUUUCUGCUGGUACCGGAGCCUUUCCCAAA